CUCCGGGUUGAUCCUGCCGGACCCGACUGCUAUCAGAGUGAGAUUAAGCCAUGCGAGUUAACGUAGCAAUACGUGGCGCACGGCUCAGUAACACGUAGUCAACAUGCCCAGAGGACGUGGAUAACCUCGGGAAACUGAGUCUAAACCGCGAUAAGUGAGGAUUUCUGAAAUGGUUCCUGACUAAAAUCUAUAUGGCCUCUGGAUUGGACUGCGGCCGAUCAGGCUGUUGGUGAGGUAAUGGCCCACCAAACCUGUAACCGGUACGGGCUCUGAGAGGAGGAGCCCGGAGAUGGGCACUGAGACAAGGGCCCAGGCCCUAUGGGGCGCAGCAGGCGCGAAACCUCUGCAAUAGGCGAAAGCCUGACAGGGUUACUCUGAGUGAUUUCCGCUAAGGGGAUCUUUUGGCACCUCUAAAAAUGGUGCAGAAUAAGGGGUGGGCAAGUCUGGUGUCAGCCGCCGCGGUAAUACCAGCACCCCGAGUGGUCGGGACGAUUAUUGGGCCUAAAGCAUCCGUAGCCGGUUCUACAAGUCUUCCGUUAAAUCCACCUGCUUAACAGAUGGGCUGCGGAAGAUACUAUAGAGCUAGGAGGCGGGAGAGGCAAGCGGUACUCGAUGGGUAGGGGUAAAAUCCGUUGAUCCAUUGAAGACCACCAGUGGCGAAGGCGGCUUGCCAGAACGCGCUCGACGGUGAGGGAUGAAAGCUGGGGGAGCAAACCGGAUUAGAUACCCGGGUAGUCCCAGCUGUAAACGAUGCAGACUCGGUGAUGAGUUGGCUUAUUGCUAACUCAGUGCCGCAGGGAAGCCGUUAAGUUUGCCGCCUGGGGAGUACGGUCGCAAGACUGAAACUUAAAGGAAUUGGCGGGGGGAGCA
This 870-nucleotide ribosomal RNA is filed under the name uncultured archaeon. RNAcentral describes it as "bacterial SSU rRNA". It matches the Rfam family "Archaeal small subunit ribosomal RNA", at positions 1 to 878 of the family's 1478-position model. The record is from RNAcentral.